GAUUGAACGCUGGCGUCAGGCCUAACACAUGCAAGUCGAGCGGAUGAAGGGAGCUUGCUCCUGGCUUCAGCGGCGGACGGGUGAGUAAUGCCUAGGAAUCUGCCUGGUAGUGGGGGAUAACGUCCGGAAACGGGCGCUAAUACCGCAUACGUCCUGAGGGAGAAAGUGGGGGAUCUUCGGACCUCACGCUAUCAGAUGAGCCUAGGUCGGAUUAGCUAGUUGGUGGGGUAAAGGCCUACCAAGGCGACGAUCCGUAACUGGUCUGAGAGGAUGAUCAGUCACACUGGAACUGAGACACGGUCCAGACUCCUACGGGAGGCAGCAGUGGGGAAUAUUGGACAAUGGGCGAAAGCCUGAUCCAGCCAUGCCGCGUGUGUGAAGAAGGUCUUCGGAUUGUAAAGCACUUUAAGUUGGGAGGAAGGGCAGUAAGUUAAUACCUUGCUGUUUUGACGUUACCAACAGAAUAAGCACCGGCUAACUUCGUG
This 485-nucleotide ribosomal RNA is filed under the name uncultured bacterium. RNAcentral's name for it is "partial 16S ribosomal RNA". It matches the Rfam family "Bacterial small subunit ribosomal RNA", at positions 27 to 507 of the family's 1533-position model. The record is from RNAcentral.